GGGAUUGUGGCUCAGCGGUAGAGCACUCGCCUCACAUGUGUGAGGUACUGGGUUCGAUCCUCAGCACCA
This 69-nucleotide transfer RNA is filed under the name Ictidomys tridecemlineatus (thirteen-lined ground squirrel). Its description in RNAcentral is "Spermophilus tridecemlineatus (thirteen-lined ground squirrel) tRNA". It matches the Rfam family "tRNA". From Rfam's summary of the family: Transfer RNA (tRNA) molecules are approximately 80 nucleotides in length. Their secondary structure includes four short double-helical elements and three loops (D, anti-codon, and T loops). Further hydrogen bonds mediate the characteristic L-shaped molecular structure. tRNAs have two regions of fundamental functional importance: the anti-codon, which is responsible for specific mRNA codon recognition, and the 3' end, to which the tRNAs corresponding amino acid is attached (by aminoacyl-tRNA synthetases). tRNAs cope with the degeneracy of the genetic code in two manners: having more than one tRNA (with a specific anti-codon) for a particular amino acid; and 'wobble' base-pairing, i.e. permitting non-standard base-pairing at the 3rd anti-codon position. The record is from Rfam by way of RNAcentral. Lineage: Eukaryota; Metazoa; Chordata; Mammalia; Rodentia; Sciuridae.